CCUAUUUUAAAAGGGAGCUGAUAAUCUGACCACCAGAGUGUUUUAACCUCAAACAUUUAAAAACAAGUUCGGUCUAAAAGUAGUGCGCAACAGGGACCAAUUAUUUUCUAUUAUGUCUGCAUGUCCUCACUUAGCAGGGAGAAGCAAUGUCCGAGCAGAAGGCCUGACAAGCGCACAGAAACCCAGAGCUGGAAAGGACCAUAAGGUUCCAGAUACAGCUGACCCUCCAUCUUACAGGAGGGGGAAACAGAGGCCCAGAGGGUGAGUAAGCUGCCUAGGGCUCAACAGCAAGCAGGUAGAGAGCGUCUCCCCAACACGCCACGCUGCCCGGGGAUUAUCAACCACUUAAAGGGCCCUGGCUGCACACACCAGGGUCCCCACCUCUCCUAGUGCCUGUGGCGCCGGGCAGAGGGGAGCUGGCGGUGACAGGCAGUCGUGCCCAGCUCGAGACUUACUCGGCUGCCAGCACUAAGCUGCAAGAGUUCGCCGGGCACACGUAGAAGCUCUUUCCUUUGUUGGGACCAUCGCGGACGCCAGUCUUGAGAAAGCAGAUGGUUCCUGAGGAGAGAAGGUUGAUAACGAUUAUGCCACGCUUAGACUGACAGACUCCCGGAGGAGCCCCUAAAAGAUCCGAGCCCCUUACCGUGCUCCGAGCACCUAAGCGCUUCCAUGACCGCUCCAGUCUCCAAUUCCAGAGAGCAGUGCCCCAACGCCCGCUUCCGCCUUUUACUCCGCCCUCCUCUCUCAGGAGCCAAUCAGCACCCCCUUUCUGCAGCCUCAACCCCCAUAAUUCACCGCGCGUGGCAUUCACCCGCCGCCUUCGCGGGAACUCGGCGUUUGAACGGUGGGGCGUGGCUGCAGCUGGCGCGGCUCUUCCAGGUGGGGCUUUCCGCGUUAGGAAGCUUCGAUUGGCUGUUGCCUGGAGGGGCAAGGGCAAGGCUGAGGCCGGGGGCGACUCCAGUUUAUAGGGUCUUUGUCUUCAGUCCCCGAGCUGGGAGACAGCAUUAAGGACUGGCUGUGCAGGAGGACUCACCCGGGUUCUUCGCCUGCCUGCCUGGAGCUCUGCGUGCACGUUGAAGUCGUCCCUCUCCAUCCUCACACUUUUCUCGAGGUGACAUAAUUCCUGCCACUUUCGUCAUUGCCUACGUCUGACAGAACAGCUGGAGCAGGGCUAAGUGCUUUCUGUUGCCAGGUUGGGACGGCUCCUGGUUUACUGCUUCUGAGUGACCCAAACUGAAUACUACCCUGGAUACCUUCCCUCGAUGAAGAAAAGUUUUGAGCAAGGAAUUUGGACUGGAAACUUAGACUUUAGAAUUUAGUACGUGUGUGUUCGGACCUGACGUUAGGUCCUAAUACUGAUCGGGUUUUUUCGCACAGCAUCCUGAUUUGUCAGCUCUAGGACUGGAGGUAUUUGGCCCACGUGUAGGAGUAAAGGCCGUCCUGACAUCAGCACCAUUUUAUUGGGGAGGGGGGAGGGUCAUAUCUUGGGUAUUGAGAACAGAAGAUCCUCAGACAAUUCUUAGCCGCCAGCAGGGUGGUACCAAUAGCUGCCAUGAGAUUAUUAAACAGUACGAAGAUUCCCUACAGACAGACUCAAGAACUGGUAGCAUUUGCCUUCAGUCGUGGGAGACCAUAACAAAAACACGCUCUCAUGUGUUUAUUUGGGCAGCAUCCUGUGGUAGCACAGAGUAGCCAUGCAAUCAACACGCAUGGGAUUAAAUGGACAUCUGUGGGAACCAGGGCAAAGAGUGCCAAGGGGUCCCCUGUCCCCUGUCUAAAUUUAGUCUCCCCUUUUUAGAGCAAACCGGAUCCUAACAUGUGACAAAGCAAACAUCUGGCAUUAGUUUUUCUGUCCCAGUGGUGCUCCUGUUCUACCUUGUGUGUGCAGCUCUUUGCUCAGAAUGAGAUGGUGGCAUCUUUAUAAGUAGAGGAAGCACAGUGUGAUAGAAAGGGUGUUGCUUUUGGAGUUCAUGCAUCUGGGCUCAAGGGCCAGCUCUUUUUGAUACUUAAAGCAUGAUACUUAACUGCUUUCUCCUGGUUUAUGGUUAGAUCUCAGCUUCACAAGUUUGUUGUAAAGCUCUGGUGCUCCUAACCCAUGAUGGCGGCUCAACAUAGUGAACAUCAGCUCCCUUCUCCUUUCCUCCUAGAGGGAAUGGAUGAUAUCACUUAUUUCUGAAUUCCUAACUCCCAGCAUAUGUCUUGGCACACGCAGAAUAUCUGGAAAUGUUUGUAGAACAAAUAAAAUCUUAUUUCCCAGUGUAUUAAAAUCCCUCCCUCUGUGUUGGUCAUCUAGUUGGUUCUCAAACACUUAAAAAAAUUUUUUUGUGGGGCGCCUGGGUGGCUCAGUCAGUUAAGCUUCUGACUCUGGCCCAGGUCAUGAUCUCGUGGUUCAUGAGUUCGAGCCCUGUGUUGGGCUCUGUGCUGACAGCUCGGAGCCUGGAGCCUGCUUCAGAUUCUAUGUCUCAUUCUCUCUCUGCCCUCCCUGCCCCACCCCCCCCCCCCCCAGCCAACUUGUGCUGUCUCUCUCUGUCUCUCAAAAAUGAAUAAAGGUUAAAAAAAAAUUUAACUUCGGUGUAAGUUAUUUACAUACAGUUAUUUCAGUUAUAUACUACUAUAUUUAUAUGUUUAAUAAGUUAUAUAUUAGAUUAUUUACAUAAAUUGCUAGAUCUUAAGAAAGCUUAGUACAUUUUUACGUAGGUAUACAUACACCCAUGAAACCAUCACCUAGAUAAAGAUAAAAAAACAUUUCAGUUGCCCCAGAAGGUUCUUCCUGCUACUUCCCAGUCAAUACUCCCCCUGCCAGAGGAAAUGAUUAUGGUGACUUCUGUCCUCAUAGAUUCGUUUUGCCGGUUCUUGGAUUUCAAAUAAGUGAAUCUUAUAGUGCAUACCCUUUUGUGCCUGGCUUAUUUCACUCAAAAAAUGCUGUGAUAUUCAUCCAUGCCGUCACGUAUGCAGCAGUUUGUUCAUUUUUAUUAUGUGUAGUAUUCCACAAUAUAUAUAAGCUAUGCGUCCGUUCACCUACUGAUGGACAGUGGGGUUGUUCCUAGUUUUUAGCAAUGAUGGAUAAAGCUGUAUUUUCGUUUAUGUCUUUUGGUGGAUAGAGCUAUUCCUUUCUCUCGGGUAAACGCAAGGAGUGGAGUUGCUUAUCAAAAACUACCAAACUAUUUUACAAAAUAGUUGAACACACUUACACUGCCACCAGCACCGUAUUAAGUUCUGGUAACUUUAAAAUCUUAUCUGCGUUUGAUAUUUGGUAUUGUCUUUAACAUUUUAAUCAUCCGGGUAUCUCAUGGUUGUUUUAAUUUGUAGAUUUCUGAUGAGUGAUGAUGUUGAGGGUCUUUUCAGAUGCUGUGGCCACGGGGCUGCACUAUUCAGAUCUCACUUCAAGGGAACCUUCUGCAGGGAACAUAGCUGACUGACAGCUUCCAGCAGCUAGAUCAUCAUAUCUGUCACAAUGCUCGCACUGAGGCCACAUUUUCCCAGGAAAUUUGCUGCUUCCAGUCAAAGACUAAGCAGGGCAGAGAUACUAGACUUAGACCAUUUCUGCCCAGUGGAGCCCUUCUCCAAUAGCCAAUCUUUGUUUAAGAGACUCCCAUCAGCUUGGCCCAGAUUACCUCAAAACUGCAGUGUCUAAAGUUCUUCCUACAUCAUCUGCCUUCCUUCCCUGAUCCUUUUAUAGAUGUCAAAACUGCACCACAGUCCAGGGCUCUCCCCACUUUCUCCUGCCCCAGCCCCCUUUUCCUUCAUAGGCAUUUCCCUCAGUAGACCCCUUGCAUGUCUAAUCCCAUCUUGGCAUAUGCUUCAUGAAGCCUGAACUGACCUACGUGAUUAUUGACUGUUGAUAAUUCUCUUUUGUAAAACCCCUGUACAAGUCUUUUGUCUAUUUUUAAGAUGAGCUUCAUGCUCCUCCUUUUUUAAAAAAAUUUAUUUAUAGGAGCGCCUGGGUGGCUCAGUCGGUUAAGCAUCUGACUUCGGCUCAGGUCAUGAUCUUGUGGCUUGUGGGUUGGAGCCUUGCGUCAGGCUCUGUGCUGACAGCUCAGAGCCUGGAGCCUGCUUCGGAUUCUGUGUCUCCCUCUCUCUCUGCACCUCUCUGCUAAUGUUCUGUCUCUCUGUCUCUCUCUCAAAACAUUUUUUAAAAAUUUAUUUAUAGGAGUUCUGUAUACAUUCUGGAUAUAAAUUCUUUGUUAGAUAUGAUUUGUGAAUAUUUUCCCUCCAUCCAUGGCUUGUGUAUAAUCACUUUAUUAAUGAUAUCUUUGAUGAAUAGUUUAUUUUAGUGGUGCCCAGUUUAUUUUUUUCCUUUGUAGUAUAAAAUGUGAGGUAGGUGUCAAGGUUCUUUUUUUUUUUUUCAUAUGAAUAUCCAAUGGUGUCAGCAACUAGAAGAAACAUGAUUUCCCCACUGCAGUAGCACCUAUAAUGGAAAUUAGGUAAAUCUACAUAUGUAUGUAUAUUUCUGGACUCUAUUCUGUUCCAUUGAUUUCCUUGUUUAUACUUGCACCUAUAAUACACAGUUUUUAAAUAUAUAUACCAUCACACUUUAUUUUUAAAGUAAUCUCCAUGCCCAACAUGGGGCUCAAACUCCUGGCCUUGAGAUCAAGAGUCACAUGCUCCAUGGACUGAGCCAGCCAGAUGCUCCUACAACACACUGUUGUAAUUAUUAUAGUUUUAUAGAAUGUCCUGGAACUUGAGCUCAUAAUUCCUCCAACUUUUUCUUCUUAAAUAUUGUCUAGAUUAUUUAUAUUUUCAUUUAUUAGAAUGAGCUCAUCGAUUUCUAAAAUUGCCUGGGAUUGGGAUUAGGAUUCCAUUAAACCAGGGUUUCUUAUCCUCAACGCUAUUGAAAUUUUGGGCUUUGCUGUGGGGAAAGGAGUCUGUCUUAUGCAUUG
Long non-coding RNA from Acinonyx jubatus (cheetah), 4880 nucleotides. RefSeq lists it as uncharacterized. The record is from RefSeq and is a predicted model, not a curated record. NCBI's taxonomy places the organism in Eukaryota, Metazoa, Chordata, Mammalia, Carnivora, Felidae. The transcript has 3 exons.